GCAUAACGCGAAGAACCUUACCCACCUUUGACAUGUACGGAAUCCUUUAGAGAUAGGGGAGUGCUCGAAAGAGAGCCGUAACACAGGUGCUACAUGGCUGUCGUCAGCUCGUGUCGUGAGAUGUUGGGUUAAGUCCCGCAACGAGCGCAACCCUUGCCAUUAGUUGCUACGAAAGGGCACUCUAAUGGGACUGCCGGUGACAAACCGGAGGAAGGUGGGGAUGACGUCAAGUCCUCAUGGCCCUUAUAGGUGGGGCUACACACGUCAUACAAUGGCUGGUACAGAGGGUUGCCAACCCGCGAGGGGGAGCUAAUCCCAUAAAGCCAGUCGUAGUCCGGAUCGCAGUCUGCAACUCGACUGCGUGAAGUCGGAAUCGCUAGUAAUCGCGGAUCAGAAUGUCGCGGUGAAUACGUUCCCGGGUCUUGUACACACCG
This 434-nucleotide ribosomal RNA is filed under the name uncultured bacterium. RNAcentral describes it as "bacterial SSU rRNA". It matches the Rfam family "Bacterial small subunit ribosomal RNA", at positions 954 to 1392 of the family's 1533-position model. The record is from RNAcentral.